This 400-nucleotide ribosomal RNA is filed under the name uncultured Salpingoecidae. RNAcentral's name for it is "partial small subunit ribosomal RNA". It matches the Rfam family "Eukaryotic small subunit ribosomal RNA", at positions 30 to 432 of the family's 1831-position model. The record is from RNAcentral. Lineage: Eukaryota; Choanoflagellata; Craspedida; Salpingoecidae.
GCUUGUCUCAAAGAUUAAGCCAUGCAUGUCUCAGUAUAAGCUUCUAUACGGCGAAACUGCGAAUGGCUCAUUAAAACAGUUAUAGUUUAUUUGGUGGUCAACUCUUACAUGGAUAACCGUGGUAAUUCUAGAGCUAAUACAUGCGAAAAGACGCGACUCACGAAGCGUUGUAUUUAUUAGAUACAAAACCAAUGCGGGGCAACCCGGUAUAAGGUGAUUCAUAAUAACUUUGCGAAUCGCAUGGCCUUGCGCCGGCGAUGAAUCAUUCAAAUUUCUGCCCUAUCAACUUUCGAUGGUAAGGUAUUGGCUUACCAUGGUCGCAACGGGUAACGGGGAAUAAGGGUUCGGUUCCGGAGAGGGAGCCUGAGAAAUGGCUACCACAUCCAAGGAAGGCAGCAGG